GACGAACGCUGGCGGCGUGCCUAACACAUGCAAGUCGAACGAAGAGCGAUGGAGGGUUUCUUCUAUCGAUCUUAGUGGCGCACGGGGGAGUAACGCGCAAUCAACCUGCCCUUCACAUGGGGACAACAGUUGGAAACGACUCCUAAUUCCCCAUACCAUCUAAUCUCUGCAUCCAGGAUAGAUGAAGGGUGGCCGCUACAGGUAAGCUAUCACUGAGGGUGGGGAUUGCGUCUGAUUAGCUAGUUGGAGGGGUAACGGCCGUACAAGGCGAAGGACCGUAGGCGGGCUUGAAGGGAGGACGGCCACAACGGGACUGAGAACAGGCCCAGGAUCCUACCGGAAGGAACAGGGGGGAAAUAUCCGAAAUGGACGAAAGUCUGAAGGAGCAACGCCGCGGGAGGGAUGACGGCCCUCGGGUUGUAAAGCUCUGUUAGUCGGGACGAAAAGCCUUCUUGCGAAUAGUGAGAAGGAUUGACGGUACCGGAAUAGAAAGCCACGGCUAACUACGUG
This 510-nucleotide ribosomal RNA is filed under the name uncultured bacterium. RNAcentral's name for it is "partial 16S ribosomal RNA". It matches the Rfam family "Bacterial small subunit ribosomal RNA", at positions 28 to 507 of the family's 1533-position model. The record is from RNAcentral.